UUCUGGUGUGCCCUGCAUGGUUCUUCAUCCUGUUUCGGCAGAAUGAAGCUAAGAGGGAAGUCCGGUGCAAGACCGACGCUGCCCCCGCAACUGUAAGUGGUGAGUUGCCAAUCGCCCGUAUGUCACUGGAGACAGUUCGUUUCCGGGAAGACUGAUUGGCCACGAUGACCCAUGAGCCAGGAGACCUGCCGUGCAUGUUUUCAACCA
Molecule: non-coding RNA, 207 nt
Filed under: Acetobacter aceti
Lineage: Bacteria; Pseudomonadati; Pseudomonadota; Alphaproteobacteria; Acetobacterales; Acetobacteraceae
Source: RNAcentral